This 304-nucleotide ribosomal RNA is filed under the name Shouchella clausii. RNAcentral describes it as "partial 16S ribosomal RNA". It matches the Rfam family "Bacterial small subunit ribosomal RNA", at positions 1 to 293 of the family's 1533-position model. The record is from RNAcentral. Lineage: Bacteria; Bacillati; Bacillota; Bacilli; Caryophanales; Bacillaceae.
UUAACGGAGAGUUUGAUCCUGGCUCAGGACGAACGCUGGCGGCGUGCCUAAUACAUGCAAGUCGAGCGGACAGAUAAGGAGCUUGCUCCUUUGACGUUAGCGGCGGACGGGUGAGUAACACGUGGGCAACCUGCCCCUUAGACUGGGAUAACUCCGGGAAACCGGAGCUAAUACCGAAUAAUCCCUUUCUCCACCUGGAGAGAGGGUGAAAGAUGGCUUCGGCUAUCACUAAGGGAUGGGCCCGCGGCGCAUUAGCUAGUUGGUAAGGUAACGGCUUACCAAGGCAACGAUGCGUAGCCGACCU